Molecule: ribosomal RNA, 279 nt
Filed under: uncultured bacterium
Lineage: Bacteria
Description: partial 16S ribosomal RNA
Rfam family: Bacterial small subunit ribosomal RNA
Source: RNAcentral
UGCCAGCCUCCUCGGUAAUACGGCGUGUGCAAGCGUGGUUCGGAAUUAUUGGGCGUAAAGCGCGUGUAGGCGGUUCGUUCAGUCUGAUGUGAAAGCCCGGGGCUCAACCUCGGAAUAGCAUUUGAAACUGGUCAUCUAGAGUACUGUAGAGGGGGGUAGAAUUUCAGGUGUAGCGGUGAAAUGCGUAGAUAUGUGGAAGAACACCCGUGGCGAAGGCGGUUUUCUAGCUUAUUCCUGACGCUGAGGCGCGAGAGCAAGGGGAGCAAACAGGAUUAGAUA